GACGAACGCUGGCGGUGUGCUUAACACAUGCCAGUCGAACGGAAAGGCCCUGCUUGCAGGGUACUCGAGUGGCGAACGGGUGAGUAACACGUGGGUGAUCUGCCCUGCACUUCGGGAUAAGCCUGGGAAACUGGGUCUAAUACCGGAUAGGAGCCAUUUUUAGUGUGAUGGUUGGAAAGUUUUUUCGGUGUAGGAUGAGCUCGCGGCCUAUCAGCUUGUUGGUGGGGUAAUGGCCUACCAAGGCGGCGACGGGUAGCCGGCCUGAGAGGGUGGACGGCCACAUUGGGACUGAGAUACGGCCCAGACUCCUACGGGAGGCAGCAGUGGGGAAUAUUGCACAAUGGGCGCAAGCCUGAUGCAGCGACGCCGCGUGGGGGAUGACGGCCUUCGGGUUGUAAACUCCUUUCGCUAGGGACGAAGCUUUUUGUGACGGUACCUAGAUAAGAAGCACCGGCUAACUACGUG
RNAcentral lists this ribosomal RNA (465 nucleotides) under uncultured bacterium. RNAcentral's name for it is "partial 16S ribosomal RNA". It matches the Rfam family "Bacterial small subunit ribosomal RNA", at positions 28 to 507 of the family's 1533-position model. The record is from RNAcentral.